This 388-nucleotide ribosomal RNA is filed under the name uncultured bacterium. Its description in RNAcentral is "bacterial SSU rRNA". It matches the Rfam family "Bacterial small subunit ribosomal RNA", at positions 28 to 416 of the family's 1533-position model. The record is from RNAcentral.
GACGAACGCUGGCGGCGUGCUUAACACAUGCAAGUCGAGCGGUAAGGCCCUUUCGGGGGUACACGAGCGGCGAACGGGUGAGUAACACGUGGGUGACCUGCCCUCAGCUCUGGGAUAAGCCUGGGAAACCGGGUCUAAUACCGGAUAUGACUCCAUGACGCAUGUUGUGGGGUGGAAAGCCUUGUGCGGCUGAGGAUGGGCCCGCGGCCUAUCAGCUUGUUGGUGGGGUGANGGCCUACCAAGGCGACGACGGGUAGCCGGCCUGAGAGGGCGACCGGCCACACUGGGACUGAGACACGGCCCAGACUCCUACGGGAGGGCAGCAGUGGGGAAUCUUGCGCAAUGGGCGAAAGCCUGACGCAGCGACGCCGCGUGAGGGAUGACGGCC